RNAcentral lists this unclassified non-coding RNA (724 nucleotides) under Hevea brasiliensis (rubber tree). The record is from RNAcentral. Lineage: Eukaryota; Viridiplantae; Streptophyta; Magnoliopsida; Malpighiales; Euphorbiaceae.
AAUGGAAAAACAAGAAUAAUUGAUAGGAGUAUAUUGAGAAAAAGGAUAGAACCCUAUGUUUGAACCGUAGUUUCCUCUUGUACCUUUUUCAUCCACAGAAAUUAUUUAUCAGGCACCUAGCGAACAUUCUUUCUCAUUUUUCUGAUAGCCACUUUGAGAAUUGUUAUUGUUUGUAUUGCUGUUAUGUUGGUUUGAGUCUUGAGAUUGUGUGUGUGUCUAAGUGAAAUUAUAAUUUUGUGACUAUUAUUCAGGUCAGUGUGCCAGUGAUAAGAUUCCAGGGCAAGAGAAGCUCAGUGAAAGUCACUUGAUGGAUCUUCUCAAUGGUUCUGAGUAUGUGCUGACUUAUGAGGACAAGGAUGGUGAUUGGAUGCUAGUUGGCGAUGUUCCUUGGGAGAUGUUCAUAGACUCAUGCAAGAGAUUGCGGAUCAUGAAGAGCUCAGAGGCAAUUGGGCUAGCUCCAAGGGCCAUAAAUAAGUGCAAGAACCAAAAUUAGUGACUGAAAGACUAACCGUCCAAAGGGUUUCUACAACGUCAACCAUCCUUUUUCUGCCCUGUUUGUAUCUGGAAUUAGACUAGAUGUGUAGCAUCCCCUGAAAGGGAGAGAGCUGGUUUAAGAAAAUAUAACCGGUCAAAAAUUGUACUGUGGCUAGUGUCUUUUGAGUGGCAAUUUUUGCUUGCACAUGCAACCUGCAAGUUUAUUUGCAAACAUACAUUAAUUUUUAAG